RNAcentral lists this ribosomal RNA (783 nucleotides) under Bacillus sp. LKS-205. Its description in RNAcentral is "bacterial SSU rRNA". It matches the Rfam family "Bacterial small subunit ribosomal RNA", at positions 57 to 820 of the family's 1533-position model. The record is from RNAcentral. Lineage: Bacteria; Bacillati; Bacillota; Bacilli; Caryophanales; Bacillaceae.
GCAAGUCGAGCGAACUGAUUAGAAGCUUGCUUCUAUGACGUUAGCGCNNGACGGGUGAGCAACACGUGGGCAACCUGCCUGUAAGACUGGGAUAACUUCGGGAAACCGAAGCUAAUACCGGAUAGGAUCUUCUCCUUCAUGGGAGAUGAUUGAAAGAUGGUUUCGGCUAUCACUUACAGAUGGGCCCGCGGGGCAUUAGCUAGUUGGUGAGGUAACGGCUCACCAAGGCAACGAUGCAUAACCGACCUGAGAGGGUGAUCGGCCACACUGGGACUGAGACACGGNCCAGACUCCUACGGGAGGCAGCAGUAGGGAAUCUUCCGCAAUGGACGAAAGUCUGACGGAGCAACGCCGCGUGAGUGAUGAAGGCUUUCGGGUCGUAAAACUCUGUUGUUAGGGAAGAACAAGUACGAGAGUAACUGCUCGUACCUUGACGGUACCUAACCAGAAAGCCACGGCUAACUACGUGCCAGCAGCCGCGGUAAUACGUANGUGGCAAGCGUUAUCCGGAAUUAUUGGGCGUAAAGCGCGCGCAGGCGGUUUCUUAAGUCUGAUGUGAAAGCCCACGGUUCAACCGUGGAGGGUCAUUGGAAACUGGGGAACUUGAGUGCAGAAGAGACAAGCGGAAUUCCACGUGUAGCGGUGAAAUGCGUANAGAUGUGGAGGAACACCACUGCCGAAGGCGGAUUUUUUGGUCUGGAACUGACGCUGAGGCGCGAAAGCGUGNGGAGCAAACAGGAUUAGAUACCCUGNCAGUCCACGCCCUAAACGAUGAGUGCUAAG